CCUACGGGAGGCAGCAGUGGGGAAUAUUGCACAAUGGGCGAAAGCCUGAUGCAGCGACGCCGCGUGAGGGAUGACGGCCUUCGGGUUGUAAACCUCUUUCAGCAGGGAAGAAGCGAAAGUGACGGUACCUGCAGAAGAAGCGCCGGCUAACUACGUGCCAGCAGCCGCGGUAAUACGUAGGGCGCAAGCGUUGUCCGGAAUUAUUGGGCGUAAAGAGCUCGUAGGCGGCUUGUUGCGUCGGUUGUGAAAGCCCGGGGCUUAACCCCGGGUCUGCAGUCGAUACGGGCAGGCUAGAGUGUGGUAGGGGAGAUCGGAAUUCCUGGUGUAGCGGUGAAAUGCGCAGAUAUCAGGAGGAACACCGGUGGCGAAGGCGGAUCUCCGGGCCAUUACUGACGCUGAGGAGCGAAAGCGUGGGGAGCGAACAGGAUUAGAUACCCUGGUAGUCCACGCCGUAAACGUUGGGAACUAGGUGUUGGCGACAUUCCACGUCGUCGGUGCCGCAGCUAACGCAUUAAGUUCCCGCCUGGGGAGUACGGCCGCAAGGCUAAAACUCAAAGGAUUGACGG
Molecule: ribosomal RNA, 566 nt
Filed under: uncultured bacterium
Lineage: Bacteria
Description: bacterial SSU rRNA
Rfam family: Bacterial small subunit ribosomal RNA
Source: RNAcentral